CUGACUGCAGUGCACGGACGGACCACUCACUGGCCAGCAGGCUGCGCUCUCGGUGAACUCUGGUGAAGAUAAUCAAUAAGGAAAAGGGAGAAAAAAUACGACACGAAUUUCGAGGGAAGCCAGAACGCCAUCUCGAUUGUCCAUUAAUCGACCGGAGCAGUGGGGAAGGGCAGCGUCCGAGCCGGAGAGAAGUCCGCCGAUCGACAUUGCCCUGCCUCGCCAUGAAGAAGCGACCGACCGAGGCGACCGAUCGACCGCAGCAACGAUGAAACAGGCAGGAGCGGUGGCAGCGGUGGCCAAACUACUUGAAAGGCGCAAUUAUCCAUCCAUCUCCGUGCAAGUCCCACGUACCCCACGAGAGCAGCAGCAUCCGUGAAUUGGGGACGGUUGAAAUUGUGCAAAAAAAGAAAAGAAAAGAAAAAAAAACGGAUGGAAAAGAAAAGGAAGGCGAAAGAGAGGUAAAAAGUAGCGUUCUUUUUUUCUUUCUUCCAAACUUUUAAAAGAGAAUAAAGGUGGAAGACAAAUCACAAAUGAACCCGGUUAACUCUUUCCUUGCGCCGCGGCGACCUCUUGCCCAACCCCGGCUGCACACCCAACCAAGCGAGUGGAAAAUCGUCCACACAGCAGACGAUCGCGUACGUACGUACUUCCCGUUUCGCGCGAGACAUGAAAUAUUCGCUGUCGUUCCGUGGCAGCCCCUUCACCUCCCUCCAACACACUCUGGCUCCACCGGGGAUCGUCCUUCUUCAGCCAUUCAAGGCUCCUCGCCACAGCGUGCGCGGCUGCGCGCCCGGCUGGAGAUCGGCUGGAGUUUGGAGCCAGCCGCGCAUGAGUUUGAGUGUGAGUGUGUGUGUGUGUCUCCCUCUCUCUUUCUUACUCACUUGGAUGCUGCUCCACCACCCCAACACAACACCGCAACGUUUCCAUCGCCCUCGCCUGAAUCGCCUCCGUUCCACAGCCAAACGAGGGAGGCUGUGUGUACUGACACUUCAUAAAUUCUUCGUUAUUCCACCGCUCCUGCAACCCAUGCCCCCUGCCCAGCAAUACUUUCCACCCCUAUCGACCCGCUGUGUGCGAGUGUGUGUCUGGCGCUGUGUGCUGUGGACGCCGUUGGCCCCGGGGACAGGCCUGCCCCGGCCAGGGCUAGGGUUGUUGUUUUGCGUUUUUUCGUGUAGCCUUUUUAACGAAUGACGAAAAAAGUAUUAUUGCUUCCUUUCCUGUGUUCUUGCACACACUGCUCUGCGAUCUUGCUCCUCCUGAUUCUACCCAGCGAUCAUCUCGUUUCUUUACGACCUUUCGGGGCUGGUUAUGGUCCUCCAGAACCAUGUUCUAUGUUCCGUUCCUUUGGCUUUCCUCCAUUAUUGCUUCUCCUUCUGCUCAUCGCUUCUCCCGAAACCCAACCAAACCAGCCAACGAACCUGCCAAACACCCCCAUGCCCUCGCCCUCCUGGCCCGUUGCCCUCACUCCCCGUUCCCAUUUAGCGUCGUCCAUCCUUUUCGCUCUCUCCCCCGGUGAUCUCGGGCUCGGUUGUCUCCUGCUGAUUUGGGCCGCGACGCUUGGGCAGGGAUUUUUUCGUUGUUCUUUUUCUCUCAUUUCUCCUUUAUCGUCCUCAUCCUGCUCAUCUCAUUAUAUUUCACAACGUUUUUUUCAGGUCCUUUCCUAGUCCCAAGUUGUGUUGUGUGUUUCUACUAUCACACACUUGAUUGAUUUUGUUCUUUCCUCCACCGUUUCUUCGCUGCGCGCUCUCUUCUCCUCCUUCGCAGCUCGCUCCGGAGCUCGUUUCCAUUCUCGAUCUCUUCGCUUCUUGCGAUCAGAUUGUUUCUGAGCUUUCUCGAAAUCAAGCCCAACAAAAAUUGAGAGGGAAAAAAAACAACUCAUCCAAUCAUUUCAUCGUUCCGUUCCCGUCUCCGCUCCUUGCCGCUGCAGGCAUCGUCCACUCCCCAGACGGGGGCGCAACGGGGUUGGAAACGAAAACAACCCGGAAUCACCCCGGGAAUGAAUGAGAGGGAAAAACUUGUUUUGGAAAUUCGUUCCCUGCCCUCGUCCUUUCGGUCACCCUCCCGCCCCGCUCGCCCGGGAUAUACGUGCCUGUAUGCGUAUGCCUCCCACGACAGGAGAAAGGGAAAAAAGCAACGCAAGCCUACGAUCCUCAUCCCAAAGCAUUCCACUGAUUUUCACUCCCUUUGCACUCACACACCUGCAACCUGCGCCAUCAACCACCAAGCUCAGGGGUUUCUUACCAGCGUUCUUUUUUCGGGUGCCCCGGACUGUCGCUCCUGCCUUCGUCCCGUGCCCUUUACCCCGAGCUGCACAACCCAGCUACCCACCACCACCCUUCCUACCUCUCGCUGCUUCGCCCGCAGUUUUGCUCGUUUUCUCGGAAGACAGAUUGAUCGUUUCCACGCAUCAGACGCACAUUACGAGAGCGACAUACGCAUGCAGACAAGCAUGCGUACACUUUAUUCUGCCUUUUUACAUGUUUUGCUUUUUUGAUUCUCCGUUUCACACUACACAACGACGCGGGGUUUUGUUGUUGUUGGUCCGUUCGUGAUUGUACUUCUCUUCUUUUUUGCUUCUUUUCUCUGGUGAGAGUGUGUUAAUCUUGCAUCACUGAUCGAACCGUUUGUUGGUUGGUCGCUUGUUGGCUUUCAGUCUUUUAUAUCGUCAAUUAGAUAUUUUUUUUCUCUAAAUUAUCCCUUCUUUUGUAACCUUCGCUGUGUUGCUAACCAUCUAAACACUGAGGACAAAACGCUCAGCCAUCGCGGGCUACUGCAAGUAGCAAGGGACUACAUUUCAAAUCUGCACGCAUCGACAACGCUAAUGAUGAUUGCCCUUUCGCUACACCUGACUCCGGUUCGGCUCUUACUAACGGGGUUUAUUCUAAAGCACACGAGGACAACUAACAAUGUACACAUAGAGACUGACUAACUUAACACAGGGAGAGCUUUACAACUAUUAACAGUUUGGGGCACGCACGCACAGCAUACAUGCAAUACAUAUUACAUACAUACAAACAUACAUACAUAAAUCCAUCUAGAGGAAUAUUAUCACGGGACAAGAUAUUUAAAAAGAAAACGCACAGACGGAGAACGACGACCUUCGCCCGGCAGCGUGGAGCCGCAGGAUGGUAGCGCACAAUAGUCCCCACCCCCCC
Anopheles coluzzii is the source of this 3155-nucleotide long non-coding RNA. RefSeq lists it as uncharacterized. The transcript is spliced from 2 exons. The record is from RefSeq and is a predicted model, not a curated record. NCBI's taxonomy places the organism in Eukaryota, Metazoa, Arthropoda, Insecta, Diptera, Culicidae.